This 254-nucleotide ribosomal RNA is filed under the name uncultured bacterium. RNAcentral's name for it is "partial 16S ribosomal RNA". It matches the Rfam family "Bacterial small subunit ribosomal RNA", at positions 524 to 776 of the family's 1533-position model. The record is from RNAcentral.
UACGAAGGCUCCAAGCGUUAUCCGGAUUUAUUGGGCGUAAAGCGUGCGUAGGGGGUCCCGUGCGUCUAUUGUUAAAUCUCACCGCCUAACGGUGAGGCCGCAAUGGAUACGGCGGGACUAGAGGGUGCGAGAGGUGACUGGAACAUACGGUGUAGGGGUGAAAUCCGUUGAUAUCGUAUGGAACACCAAAGGCGAAAGCAUGUCACUGGAGCAUUCCUGACCCUCAGUGCACGAAAGCGUGGGGAGCAAAAAGG